GACGAACGCUGGCGGCGUGCCUAACACAUGCAAGUCGAGCGAGUGAAUCUCCUUCGGGAGUGAAGCUAGCGGCGGACGGGUGAGUAACACGUGGGCAACCUGCCUCAUAGAGGGGAAUAGCCUUUCGAAAGGAAGAUUAAUACCGCAUAAGAUUGUAGCUUCGCAUGAAGUAGCAAUUAAAGGAGCAAUCCGCUAUGAGAUGGGCCCGCGGCGCAUUAGCUAGUUGGUGAGGUAACGGCUCACCAAGGCGACGAUGCGUAGCCGACCUGAGAGGGUGAUCGGCCACAUUGGAACUGAGACACGGCCCAGACUCCUACGGGAGGCAGCAGUGGGGAAUAUUGCACAAUGGGGGAAACCCUGAUGCAGCAACGCCGCGUG
RNAcentral lists this ribosomal RNA (378 nucleotides) under uncultured bacterium. Its description in RNAcentral is "bacterial SSU rRNA". It matches the Rfam family "Bacterial small subunit ribosomal RNA", at positions 28 to 403 of the family's 1533-position model. The record is from RNAcentral.